GAUCAUGGCUCAGGAUGAACGCUAGCUACAGGCUUAACACAUGCAAGUCGAGGGGCAGCAUGGUCUUAGCUUGCUAAGGCUGAUGGCGACCGACGCACGGGUGAGUAACACGUAUCCAACCUGCCGUCUACUCUUGGCCAGCCUUCUGAAAGGAAGAUUAAUCCAGGAUGGCAUCAUGAGUUCACAUGUCCGUAUGAUUAAAGGUAUUUUCCGGUAGACGAUGGGG
RNAcentral lists this ribosomal RNA (226 nucleotides) under uncultured bacterium. RNAcentral describes it as "partial 16S ribosomal RNA". It matches the Rfam family "Bacterial small subunit ribosomal RNA", at positions 15 to 230 of the family's 1533-position model. The record is from RNAcentral.